GACGAACGCUGGCGGCGUGCUUAACACAUGCAAGUCGAACGGAAAGGCCCUGCUUUUGUGGGGUGCUCGAGUGGCGAACGGGUGAGUAACACGUGAGUAACCUGCCCUUGACUUUGGGGUAACUUCAGGAAACUGGGGCUAAUACCGGAUAGGAGCUCCUGCUGCAUGGUGGGGGUUGGAAAGUUUCGGCGGUUGGGGAUGGACUCGCGGCUUAUCAGCUUGUUGGUGGGGUAGUGGCUUACCAAGGCUUUGACGGGUAGCCGGCCUGAGAGGGUGACCGGCCACAUUGUGACUGAGAUACGGCCCAGACUCCUACGGGAGGCAGCAGUGGGGAAUAUUGCACAAUGGGCGGAAGCCUGAUGCAGCAACUCCGCGUGCGGGAUGACGGCCUUCGGGUUGUAAACCGCUUUCGCCUGUGACGAAGCGUGAGUGACGGUAAUGGGUAAAGAAGCACCGGCUAACUACGUG
Molecule: ribosomal RNA, 468 nt
Filed under: uncultured bacterium
Lineage: Bacteria
Description: partial 16S ribosomal RNA
Rfam family: Bacterial small subunit ribosomal RNA
Source: RNAcentral